Molecule: ribosomal RNA, 496 nt
Filed under: uncultured bacterium
Lineage: Bacteria
Description: partial 16S ribosomal RNA
Rfam family: Bacterial small subunit ribosomal RNA
Source: RNAcentral
AUGAACGCUGGCGGCGUGCCUAAUACAUGCAAGUCGAGCGAACAGACGAGGAGCUUUCUCCUCUGACGUUAGCGGCGGACGGGUGAGUAACACGUGGAUAACCUACCUAUAAGACUGGGAUAACUUCGGGAAACCGGAGCUAAUACCGGAUAAUAUAUUGAAUCGCAUGGUUCAAUAGUGAAAGACGGUUUUGCUGUUACUUAUAGAUGGAUCCGCGCCGCAUUAGCUAGUUGGUAAGGUAACGGCUUAGCAAGGCGGCGAUGCGUAGCCGACCUGAGAGGGUGAUCGGCCACACUGGAGCUGAGACACGGUCCAGACUCCUACGGGAGGCAGCAGUAGGGAAUCUUCCGCAAUGGGCGAAAGCCUGACGGAGCAACGCCGCGUGAGUGAUGAAGGUCUUCGGAUCGUAAAACUCUGUUAUUAGGGAAGAACAAAUGUGUAAGUAACUAUGCACGUCUUGACGGUACCUAAUCAGAAAGCCACGGCUAACUACGUG